Molecule: ribosomal RNA, 253 nt
Filed under: uncultured bacterium
Lineage: Bacteria
Description: partial 16S ribosomal RNA
Rfam family: Bacterial small subunit ribosomal RNA
Source: RNAcentral
UACGAAGGGGGCUAGCGUUGCUCGGAAUCACUGGGCGUAAAGGGUGCGUAGGCGGGUUUUUAAGUCAGGGGUGAAAUCCUGGAGCUCAACUCCAGAACUGCUUUUGAUACUGAAGAUCUUGAGUUCGGGAGAGGUGAGUGGAACUGCGAGUGUAGAGGUGAAAUUCGUAGAUAUUCGCAAGAACACCAGUGGCGAAGGCGGCUCACUGGCCCGAUACUGACGCUGAGGCACGAAAGCGUGGGGAGCAAACAGG